RNAcentral lists this transfer RNA (360 nucleotides) under uncultured Microcystis sp. Its description in RNAcentral is "partial 16S-23S ribosomal RNA intergenic spacer". The stretch from base 134 to 207 matches the Rfam family "tRNA". Lineage: Bacteria; Bacillati; Cyanobacteriota; Cyanophyceae; Chroococcales; Microcystaceae. The record is from RNAcentral.
AAAGGGAGACCUAAUUCAGGUAGGAGACGAAAAAAAAGUAGUCCCUACCAAGAAUCAAUCCCAAAAGGUCGGAACGAGGUAUGAGGCUUUCAAACUAGGUUCUGGGUUCAUAAAAGACCUGAAUCAGGAACAAGGGCUAUUAGCUCAGGUGGUUAGAGCGCACCCCUGAUAAGGGUGAGGUCCCUGGUUCGAGUCCAGGAUGGCCCACCUGCACAGGUGGCAAAAACAAGAGAAGCGAGGAAUCAGCACCUUAUCUUAUAUACAUAUAUAAGAGAGAAUGCUGGCUCUGAGUACAGAGUCCAGAGGAACCUUGAAAACUGCAUAGAGCUAGGUGAAAAAGCCAAAAAAGAAGACCGCAAG